GGUGGUAAUGCCGGAUGCUCCAGUUGACCGCAUGGUCCUCUGGGAAAGCUUUUGCGGUAUGGGAUGGGGUCGCGUCCUAUCAGCUUGAUGGCGGGGUAACGGCCCACCAUGGCUUCGACGGGUAGCCGGCUGAGAGGGCGACCGGCCACAUUGGGACUGAGAUACGGCCCAGACUCCUACGGGAGGCAGCAGUGGGGAAUAUUGCACAAUGGGCGCAAGCCUGAUGCAGCGACGCCGCGUGCGGGAUGACGGCCUUCGGGUUGUAAACCGCUUUUGACUGGGAGCAAGCCCUUCGGGGUGAGUGUACCUUUCGAAUAAGCACCGGCUAACUACGUGCCAGCAGCCGCGGUAAUACGUAGGGUGCAAGCGUUAUCCGGAAUUAUUGGGCGUAAAGGGCUCGUAGGCGGUUCGUCGCGUCCGGUGUGAAAGUCCAUCGCUUAACGGUGGAUCCGCGCCGGGUACGGGCGGGCUUGAGUGCGGUAGGGGAGACUGGAAUUCCCGGUGUAACGGUGGAAUGUGUAGAUAUCGGGAAGAACACCAAUGGCGAAGGCAGGUCUCUGGGCCGUCACUGACGCUGAGGAGCGAAAGCGUGGGGAGCGAACAGGAUUAGAUACCCUGGUAGUCCACGCCGUAAACGGUGGAUGCUGGAUGUGGGGACCAUUCCACGGUCUCCGUGUCGGAGCCAACGCGUUAAGCAUCCCGCCUGGGGAGUACGGCCGCAAGGCUAAAACUC
RNAcentral lists this ribosomal RNA (733 nucleotides) under uncultured bacterium. RNAcentral's name for it is "bacterial SSU rRNA". It matches the Rfam family "Bacterial small subunit ribosomal RNA", at positions 159 to 902 of the family's 1533-position model. The record is from RNAcentral.